CCUACGGGAGGCAGCAGUGAGGAAUAUUGGUCAAUGGACGCAAGUCUGAACCAGCCAUGCCGCGUGCAGGAAGACGGCUCUAUGAGUUGUAAACUUCUUUUGUACGGGGGUAAACGCAGAUACGCGUAUCUGUCUGAAAGUAUCCUACGAAUAAGGAUCGGCUAACUCCGUGCCAGCAGCCGCGGUAAUACGGAGGAUCCAAGCGUUAUCCGGAUUUAUUGGGGUUAAAGGGUGCGGAGGGGGUCGGAUAAGUUAGAGGUGAAAUCCCGGGGCUCAACAUCGGAAUUGCCUCUGAUACUGUACGGCUAGAGAGUAGUAGAGGUAGGCGGAAUGUAUGGUGUAGCGGUGAAAUGCUUAGAGAUCAUGCAGAACACCGAUUGCGAAGGCAGCUUACCGGGCUGCUACUGACGUUGAGGCACGAAAGCGUGGGGAGCAAACAGGAUUAGAUACCCCAGUAGUC
Molecule: ribosomal RNA, 460 nt
Filed under: uncultured bacterium
Lineage: Bacteria
Description: partial 16S ribosomal RNA
Rfam family: Bacterial small subunit ribosomal RNA
Source: RNAcentral